CUACGGGACGCAGCAGUGGGGAAUAUUGGGCAAUGGGCGAAAGCCUGACCCAGCAACGCCGCGUGAGUGAAGAAGGCUUUCGGGUUGUAAAGCUCUGUUGGUAGGGACGAAGGAAGUGACGGUACCUACCAAGGAAGCCCCGGCUAACUACGUGCCAGCAGCCGCGGUAAUACGUAGGGGGCAAGCGUUGUCCGGAAUGACUGGGCGUAAAGGGCGUGUAGGCGGCCGAUUAAGUCCGGAGUGAAAGUCCUGCUUUCAAGGUGGGAAUUGCUUUGGAGACUGGUUGGCUUGAGUGCGGAAGAGGUAAGUGGAAUUCCCAGUGUAGCGGUGAAAUGCGUAGAGAUUGGGAGGAACACCAGUGGCGAAGGCGACUUACUGGGCCGUAACUGACGCUGAGGCGCGAAAGCGUGGGGAGCGAACAGGAUUAGAUACCCCAGUAGUC
This 442-nucleotide ribosomal RNA is filed under the name uncultured bacterium. Its description in RNAcentral is "partial 16S ribosomal RNA". It matches the Rfam family "Bacterial small subunit ribosomal RNA", at positions 339 to 795 of the family's 1533-position model. The record is from RNAcentral.